CCUACGGGAGGCAGCAGUAAGGAAUAUUGGACAAUGGUCGCAAGACUGAUCCAGCCAUGCCGCGUGCAGGAUGACUGCCCUAUGGGUUGUAAACUGCUUUUGUACGGGAAUAAACCCUUCUACGUGUAGAAGGCUGAAUGUACCGUAAGAAUAAGGAUCGGCUAACUUCGUGCCAGCAGCCGCGGUAAGACGAAGGAUCCAAGCGUUAUCCGGAUUUAUUGGGUUUAAAGGGUGCGUAGGCGGAUUGAUAAGUCAGUGGUGAAAGCCUGUUGCUUAACAACAGAACUGCCAUUGAUACUGUCAAUCUUGAAUAUGUUUGAUGUGGGCGGAAUAUGACAUGUAGCGGUGAAAUGCUUAGAUAUGUCAUAGAACACCGAUUGCGAAGGCAGCCCACAAAGCCAUUAUUGACGCUGAGGCACGAAAGACGUGGGGAGUCAAACAAGGAUUAGAUACCUCGGUAGUCCACGCUGUAAACUUUAGUAUCACUCUCUGUUGGUGAGUACACUAGUCNGCGGCGACGACGAAAGAACGUUAAGUUAGUAGUCCACCCGUCGGGAGGGUACGGUAGUACGCGAGAGUAGUAACGUAACGUAAAGAAAGUUAAGGUUACGGACGGUUGGAGGACGACGCCGACGGACGACCGACGAACGGGGAAGGGGUUAAGGGGUUAAGG
This 673-nucleotide ribosomal RNA is filed under the name uncultured bacterium. RNAcentral describes it as "bacterial SSU rRNA". The stretch from base 1 to 549 matches the Rfam family "Bacterial small subunit ribosomal RNA", at positions 338 to 873 of the family's 1533-position model. The record is from RNAcentral.